Molecule: ribosomal RNA, 406 nt
Filed under: uncultured bacterium
Lineage: Bacteria
Description: partial 16S ribosomal RNA
Rfam family: Bacterial small subunit ribosomal RNA
Source: RNAcentral
AAUGAACGCUGGCGGCAGGCCUAACACAUGCAAGUCGAACGAGUGGCGGACGGGUGAGUAAUGGCUGGAAAACUGCCUGAUGGAGGGGGAUCACUACUGGAAACGGUAGCUAAUCCCGCCUACCAUCGAAUGAGCCCAGAGGGGAUUAGCUAGUAGGGGGGGUAAAGGCUCACCUAGACGACGAUCCCUAGCUGGUCUGAGAGGAUGACCAGCCACACUGGAACUGAGACACGGUCCAGACUCCUACGGGAGGCAGCAGUGGGGAAUAGUGCACAAUGGGCGCAAUCCUGAUGCAGCCAUGCCGCGUGUAUGAAGAAGGUCUUCGGGUUGUAAAGUACUUUCAGCGGGGAGGCGUUACCCGCAGAAUAAGCACCGGCUAACUCCGUGCCAGCAGCCGCGGUAAUUC